Alligator mississippiensis (American alligator) is the source of this 930-nucleotide long non-coding RNA. RefSeq lists it as uncharacterized. The record is from RefSeq and is a predicted model, not a curated record. Lineage: Eukaryota; Metazoa; Chordata; Crocodylia; Alligatoridae. The transcript is spliced from 7 exons.
GGGAUUUCUUCACAAGGAGGUCCUGGUUGCAGGGCUCCUGCAGGGACCUGGAUUUAGUUAAACAAAUAUGCAGCCCUAGGAACAGAGGACAGCCCAGAAGGGGCAGCAGUUUAUCAGCGUCAUCUCUGGGAUCACCCCUGAGCUCCAAAGACGAUCUCUGCCAACUUAAUUGGAACAGUUGGUGAAAGUUGGGGACCACUACUCCAGGAGAUAACUCCCUUGCUCCUUUCCAGCUGUGUUUGAGCCAAAUCAUGAACAAAGGCUCUGAAGGCAAGUCUACCUCUGGGCCAAUUGUGAACACUGUUGCAUAGCGAACUUCGAUCUACAGAAAAUUACGCUGCAAAGCAGUCACAGGACUUCUGGGUGCAACCUAAAAGAACAGGAGAAGCAAGUUCUGCAUGGCCUCUGGGGUUUCCACACAUGUUUAGUUGGCAGUGAUCAUCAUACCACGUAACAUGAAUCAUACUGGAUAAGAGCACCUGCCAUGCUGGAAAGACAGCAUGCAAGUCAGUCUCAGUCUAUGUACUGCAGUGAACAGAGCACCCUCCCUCUCCUCCCUGAAGUCUAACAGCAUGAAGUGGUUUUCUUUGUGUGUUCACUAUGGCACAGUCAUUGAGAGCCUCCUUCUGCCAGUGCUGCAUCCUUCUUGUGUGGUUCUGCACUCCAGUCCUAUUCCUGCUCAUCCCAGUUGUGCCAGUCUCAGUUUCUCUGGCCUAUAGCAUGUUCUACUUUUUGUCCAGCAACUCUCCCAACCAGCAAGCAGUAUACAGGCUACAGGAGACUCACAGCAAUAGAGCUGCAAGGAGUGUAAGUGAAAGCAGAAUUUGGUCCAUAGUCUUGAAUAAAGAUUCAUACAAGAUGCAAUCAUCCAGGUGCUGUAUGCUAUGCACAAAUUUGUUAAAUCUUAUCAUAUGAGUUGCUGAUGCAACU